This 394-nucleotide ribosomal RNA is filed under the name uncultured bacterium. RNAcentral's name for it is "bacterial SSU rRNA". It matches the Rfam family "Bacterial small subunit ribosomal RNA", at positions 505 to 898 of the family's 1533-position model. The record is from RNAcentral.
GUGCCAGCCGCCGCGGUAAUACGGAGGAUGCGAGCGUUAUCCGGAUUUAUUGGGUUUAAAGGGUGCGCAGGCCGACUGGCAAGUCAGCGGUAAAAUUGAGGGGCUCAACCCCUUCGAGCCGUUGAAACUGUCAGUCUUGAGUGAGCGAGAAGUAUGCGGAAUGCGUGGUGUAGCGGUGAAAUGCAUAGAUAUCACGCAGAACUCCGAUUGCGAAGGCAGCAUACCGGCGCUCAACUGACGCUCAUGCACGAAAGCGUGGGUAUCGAACAGGAUUAGAUACCCUGGUAGUCCACGCAGUAAACGAUGAAUACUAACUGUUCGGACCGAUUGAGGUCUGAGUGGUAAAGCGAAAGCGUUAAGUAUUCCACCUGGGGAGUACGCCGGCAACGGUGAA